RNAcentral lists this ribosomal RNA (117 nucleotides) under Zingiber officinale. The record is from RNAcentral. Lineage: Eukaryota; Viridiplantae; Streptophyta; Magnoliopsida; Zingiberales; Zingiberaceae.
GCGAUCAUACCAGCACUAAUGCACCGGAUCCCAUCAGAACUCCGAAGUUAAGCGUGCUUGGGCGAGAGCAGUACUAGGAUGGGUGACCCCCCUGGGAAGUACUAGGUGGCGGCGACU